AACGAACGUUAGCGGUGUGGAUUAGGCAUGCAAGUCGCGCGCGAAAGUCCGCAAGGAUGAGUAAAGCGGCGAAAGGGUGAGUAAUACGUAGUCAACCUACCCCUGAGAUCGGAAUAACCACUGGAAACGGUAGGGCUAAUGCUGGAGUGACUUUGGUUAGGGAGGCAUCUCCUGGCAAGGAAACGGGUAGGCGCAAGCUGCUGUUCAGGGACGGGGACGUACGGGCGUAUCAGCUAGUUGGNGAGGUAACGGCUCACCAAGGCGAUGACGGCUAGCCGAUCUGAGAGGACGACCGGCCACACUGGGACUGAGACACUGCCCAGACUCCUACGGGAGGCUGCAGUCGAGAAUCUUCCGCAAUGGGCGCAAGCCUGACGGAGCGACACCGCGUACAGGAUGAA
RNAcentral lists this ribosomal RNA (401 nucleotides) under uncultured bacterium. RNAcentral's name for it is "bacterial SSU rRNA". It matches the Rfam family "Bacterial small subunit ribosomal RNA", at positions 29 to 412 of the family's 1533-position model. The record is from RNAcentral.